This is a non-coding RNA of Pelobates cultripes (western spadefoot toad), 101 nucleotides long. NCBI's taxonomy places the organism in Eukaryota, Metazoa, Chordata, Amphibia, Anura, Pelobatidae. The record is from the annotation of a GenBank genome assembly.
GUGCAGCUCCCCAGUUCAGCUCACAGUGUAAGUUUUGUGGUCUCUCUGAUGGCCCCGGGUGUCGCGAGACUUAUACUGUGAGCUGAAUUGGGGAGCUGCAC